RNAcentral lists this ribosomal RNA (262 nucleotides) under uncultured bacterium. RNAcentral's name for it is "partial 16S ribosomal RNA". It matches the Rfam family "Bacterial small subunit ribosomal RNA", at positions 524 to 776 of the family's 1533-position model. The record is from RNAcentral.
UACGUAGGGCGCAAGCGUUGUCCGGAAUUAUUGGGCGUAAAGAGCUCGUAGGUGGUUUUGUCGCGUUGUCCGUGAAAAACUCACAACUCAAUUUGUGGGGCGUGCGGGGCGAUACGGGCAGACUGGAGUACUGCAGGGGGAGACUGGAAUUCCUGGUGUAGCGGUGGAAUGCGCAGAUAUCAGGAGGAACACCGGUGGCGAAGGCGGGUCUCUGGGCAGUAACUGACGCUGAGGAGCGAAAAGCGUGGGGGAGCGAAACAGG